RNAcentral lists this ribosomal RNA (229 nucleotides) under uncultured bacterium. RNAcentral describes it as "partial 16S ribosomal RNA". It matches the Rfam family "Bacterial small subunit ribosomal RNA", at positions 568 to 796 of the family's 1533-position model. The record is from RNAcentral.
UACGUAGGCGGAAAAUUAAGUCAGUAGUGAAAUCCUGCAGCUUAACUGUAGAACUGUUAUUGAUACUGGUUUUCUUGAAUAUAGUUGAGGUAGGCGGAAUGUGUAAUGUAGCGGUGAAAUGCUUAGAUAUUACACAGAACACCGAUUGCGAAGGCAGCUUACUAAGCUAUGAUUGACGCUGAUGUACGAAAGCGUGGGGAGCGAACAGGAUUAGAUACCCUGGUAGUCC